UGGGGAAUUUUGCGCAAUGGGCUAACGCCUGACGCAGCAACGCCGCGUGGAGGAUGAAGGUCUUUGGAUUGUAAACUCCUGUCAGCAGGGAAAAAGCAACAGGUGCUCAUACCAUCUGGAGUUGAUUGUACCUGCAGAGGAAGCCCCGGCUAACUCUGUGCCAGCAGCCGCGGUAAUACAGAGGGGGCAAGCGUUAUUCGGAAUUAUUGGGCGUAAAGGGCGCGUAGGCGGCUUUGCAAGUGACGGGUGAAAGCCCUCGGCUUAACCGAGGAACUGCCUGUCAGACUGUGAGGUUUGAGACCGGGAGAGGUGAGUGGAAUUCCCAGUGUAGCGGUGAAAUGCGUAGAUAUUGGGAGGAACACCAGUGGCGAAGGCGGCUCACUGGACCGGAACUGACGCUGAGGCGCGAAAGCGUGGGGAGCAAACAGGAUUAGAUACCCUGGUAGUCCACGCCGUAAACGAUGAGUGCUUGGUGUAGCGGGUAUCGACCCC
Molecule: ribosomal RNA, 492 nt
Filed under: uncultured Acidobacteriota bacterium
Lineage: Bacteria; Pseudomonadati; Acidobacteriota
Description: bacterial SSU rRNA
Rfam family: Bacterial small subunit ribosomal RNA
Source: RNAcentral